RNAcentral lists this long non-coding RNA (296 nucleotides) under Capsicum annuum. RNAcentral describes it as "long non-coding RNA (CANN_LNC006213)". Lineage: Eukaryota; Viridiplantae; Streptophyta; Magnoliopsida; Solanales; Solanaceae. The record is from RNAcentral.
UGAGAAUCAAGAUCAUAUCAAAAGGAUCAACACUAUAAAUCAAAACUCCUUAACUUAGAUAUCAAAAACAUCAUACAUUACCUAACUAGUCUUUCUCCACCUAGAAAAUAAACGAUACUACCAACCACACAACAUGCUAUAAUCCUAAAAAAUAAUGCAGCCCCAUAGCACCUUGGGCAUAUUCCUACAUCGCACCUACAACAUCAGACAUGAUUAUGAAUCAAGUAAACUUAAGCUCUUGCAUUCACUGUUCAAGCCUAUUAGAUCACUUCUAUACAACUAACUUUCACAACGCA